Molecule: ribosomal RNA, 497 nt
Filed under: uncultured bacterium
Lineage: Bacteria
Description: partial 16S ribosomal RNA
Rfam family: Bacterial small subunit ribosomal RNA
Source: RNAcentral
GAUGAACGCUGGCGGCGUGCCUAAUACAUGCAAGUCGAGCGAACAGACGAGGAGCUUGCUCCUCUGACGUUAGCGGCGGACGGGUGAGUAACACGUGGAUAACCUACCUAUAAGACUGGGAUAACUUCGGGAAACCGGAGCUAAUACCGGAUAAUAUAUUGAACCGCAUGGUUCAAUAGUGAAAGACGGUUUUGCUGUCACUUAUAGAUGGAUCCGCGCCGCAUUAGCUAGUUGGUAAGGUAACGGCUUACCAAGGCAACGAUGCGUAGCCGACCUGAGAGGGUGGUCGGCCACACUGGCACUGAGACACGGUCCAGACUCCUACGGGGGGCAGCAGUAGGGAAUCUUCCGCAAUGGGCGAAAGCCUGACGGAGCAACGCCGCGUGAGUGAUGAAGGUCUUCGGAUCGUAAAACUCUGUUAUUAGGGAAGAACAAAUGUGUAAGUAACUAUGCACGUCUUGACGGUACCUAAUCAGAAAGCCACGGCUAACUACGUG